RNAcentral lists this long non-coding RNA (682 nucleotides) under Centruroides sculpturatus (bark scorpion). RNAcentral's name for it is "uncharacterized LOC111628432, transcript variant X1". The record is from RNAcentral. Lineage: Eukaryota; Metazoa; Arthropoda; Arachnida; Scorpiones; Buthidae.
UUUUCGUAUUUUCUUACGUAACUGAGAAAAUAAACGACAGGAUAAAAAUCAAUUUAUAAGUUUGGCGUAAGAUGAUUAUUUUUAAAUCAAUUUAUUAAUUGAUAUUGCUUAAUACAGUAUAGCGUUUCUCAAAUUGUGUUCACAGCAAACUGUUCGUGAAAAAUCAAUUUUAAAAAUAAGUUAAGAUUUGGCAUGUUUGUAAUAUACACUAUGCUUAUAUCGCUAUAAUUUUUAACACUACUUUUUUCGAUAAUAAUAAUGGAUAUAUUAAUUAAUCAAAUAUAGCGCGGAACGCUAUCUUGGCGGGCUUCGUAUAGAUAUUCGUAGAGAUAGGUGUAUGUACAAAAAUUAACGAAGUAAUCAUCUAAUAUAUCAUUCACGUGCGAUUUAGCCUGUAUUAAAUGGAUUAAGGGAAAAAGACGAGCAGAUAACAUCCAUCGAAUGAAACAAAGUAUCUAUCCGCCAAUACGUUCGUGUAUGUUUACGUAGUGGCGCGUGCCGAACAUCUUCGCAAUUACGAAAUAAGUGCAGAAAACUAAUGUAGUCAAGCCAGGCUUUUGAAAAACCUUCCAUGAUAGCUGUUCCUGAAAUAAUCUGAUAUUUACAUGGCAUUAAUUCUUCAAAUGUUUGCAGUCCAAAUGAAUAAGCUUUCUGAUUUAAUUCUUUAAAAAUAUGACUUCCA